RNAcentral lists this ribosomal RNA (677 nucleotides) under Inocybe abjecta. RNAcentral's name for it is "eukaryotic LSU rRNA". It matches the Rfam family "Eukaryotic large subunit ribosomal RNA", at positions 1 to 653 of the family's 3401-position model. Lineage: Eukaryota; Fungi; Basidiomycota; Agaricomycetes; Agaricales; Inocybaceae. RNAcentral also lists the same sequence under 1 other name. The record is from RNAcentral.
UUGACCUCAAAUCAGGUAGGACUACCCGCUGAACUUAAGCAUAUCAAUAAGCGGAGGAAAAGAAACUAACAAGGAUUCCCCUAGUAACUGCGAGUGAAGCGGGAAGAGCUCAAAUUUGAAAUCUGGCGGUUCCUUGGACCGUCCGAGUUGUAAUCUAGAGAAGUGCUACCUGUGCUGGACCGUGUACAAGUCUUCUGGAAUGGAGCAUCACAGAGGGUGAGAAUCCCGUCUUUGACACGGACUGCCUGUGCGAUAUGGUGCGCUCUCGAAGAGUCGAGUUGUUUGGGAAUGCAGCUCAAAAUGGGUGGUAAAUGCCAUCUAAAGCUAAAUAUUGGCGAGAGACCGAUAGCGAACAAGUACCGUGAGGGAAAGAUGAAAAGAACUUUGGAAAGAGAGUUAAACAGUACGUGAAAUUGCUGAAAGGGAAACGCUUGAAGUCAGUCGCGUCGGCUGGAAAUCAGUCUUGCUUCUGCUUGACGUACUUUCUGGUCUGACGGGUCAGCAUCAGUUUUGACCGCUGGAUAAAGUCAUUGGGAAUGUGGCAUCUCAGGAUGUGUUAUAGCCCGUUGUCGCAUACAGUGGUUGGGAUUGAGGAGCUCAGCACGCCGCAAGGCCGGGUCCUUCUUGGAUCACGUUCGUGCUUAGGAUGCUGGCAUAAUGGCUUUAAUCGACCCGUC